This 284-nucleotide ribosomal RNA is filed under the name Segatella copri DSM 18205. RNAcentral describes it as "Prevotella copri DSM 18205 partial 16S ribosomal RNA". It matches the Rfam family "Bacterial small subunit ribosomal RNA", at positions 493 to 776 of the family's 1533-position model. Lineage: Bacteria; Pseudomonadati; Bacteroidota; Bacteroidia; Bacteroidales; Prevotellaceae. The record is from RNAcentral.
UCUUUUCCUCGUGUGCCAGCAGCCGCGGUAAUACGGAAGGUCCGGGCGUUAUCCGGAUUUAUUGGGUUUAAAGGGAGCGUAGGCCGGAGAUUAAGCGUGUUGUGAAAUGUAGACGCUCAACGUCUGCACUGCAGCGCGAACUGGUUUCCUUGAGUACGCACAAAGUGGGCGGAAUUCGUGGUGUAGCGGUGAAAUGCUUAGAUAUCACGAAGAACUCCGAUUGCGAAGGCAGCUCACUGGAGCGCAACUGACGCUGAAGCUCGAAAGUGCGGGUAUCGAACAGG